UGAGGGGAGAUCACUUUUAUCUAGACUGCAGGAACUGAGAAUGGGUGAGGGGUGAUUCCCAAAGAGAAAAUGAAGGUUCUGUUUAUAGAAGAAUAAGAAACUAUGUUUGUCUGGUAAAAAUAGCAGUUGUCCAUUCUAUCAGUUUUCAUUCCCAUGUUACAGAAAUUCUUACCAAACAGGCUUAAAUAGUAAGCGAAUGCCUUAGUUCAUUUCACUGGCAGUUCAGAGUGGGGGUAGCCCUGGGGCAUAGCCAAAUCUGGUGAUUGAGUUCUCAGUGAUUCCUGUCAUUGCACUGGAGGCAAAAUGGCUGCAGCAAUUUCUGCCUGCCAUUAACAGCCAGAGGAAGAGAGAAGCUGGCUGGUCCAGUUGCCAUCUCUUAAGAGUGAGAAUGGCACUUUGUGAGGCCUAGGUGGGCGGGUCACCAGCCCGGCCGACAUAGUGAAACCCCGUCUCUACUAAAAAUACAAAAAUCAGCCAGAUGUGGUGGCUCAUGCCUAUAAUUCCAGCUACUUAGGAGGCUGAGGCAGGAGAAUCACGUGAACCUGGGAGGCAGAGGUUGCAGUGAGCUGAGACCACACCACUGUACUCCAGCCUGGGCAACAGAGUCAGACUCAGUUUCAAAAAAUAAAUAAACAAACAAAAAUAAAAAAUACAGGUUUGCAGGGAGGCCCUGUGGGUGGGGAAGCAUGGGCAAAGCCAUUCUCUCCUAAUGUGGCAUGUAAGGUAGAAUGCAGCAUCUUGGUCAUUCUUCCCUUUCAUCGUUUGAAUAAAGUACUUGAAGAGCAGAAAGUCGGAGGCAGGACUGGCAGUCUUUCUAUUACCUCACCUCACUCUUCCGUGAAGGUGGGACAGACAGUUGAAUGUGACUGCCAGGCCUCAGAGCUGCCUUCCUCUUGUGUCUCACUGCAGAAGCAGACACACAGAAGGGCACCUUUUCUUUUUCGUAGUUCUUGGCUUGGGUUGACCACCAUGAGGUGAAGGAGUUUUGGAGGACAUUUUCUCAGGGUGGUCAGUAUUUUGUGCUGUGUGCCAUAGCUGGGGUACACAAUGGAUUUUUUUUUUUUUUUUACUUUUUUUAAAUAAGCAGGAUUUUUUUUUCAGAGAAAGAUAUAAAUUGACCAUUUGAGCUGUGGAAGAUAAUAUGGAGAUAAUGCCAACAUUUAAUCAUUUUCAUCCAAACAUAUAUCUUACUCAUUUCAAUAUUUUUCUUCUCUCAUCCGUGUAGCAAGCUAGUCAUUUCCCAGUUCAGAAAGAUACCUGUAUGAUAUACCCAACUUUUAGAAUUUUGAUGCUGUAAAAUUCCUAGUAUGUCUCUCUGCCAUAAGAAAACAGCUAUUGACAUUUUUGUGUAUUUCAAUCUAAUUUAAAAUGUUUUUAUGAACAAACCCCUACAAAUGAUCUUAAACAGUUUUGUUUCCUGCUCAUUUUCACUUAACAUUAUAUCAUGAACACUUUUUUUUUAGUCAUUGAAUAUUCUCUGUAAGCAUGAUUUUUAAAGAUUGCUGCACUUCCAGUCAAUCUACAGUGG
This 1528-nucleotide long non-coding RNA is filed under the name Homo sapiens (human). Its description in RNAcentral is "HSALNT0055993". The record is from RNAcentral. Lineage: Eukaryota; Metazoa; Chordata; Mammalia; Primates; Hominidae.